This 428-nucleotide ribosomal RNA is filed under the name uncultured archaeon. RNAcentral describes it as "bacterial SSU rRNA". It matches the Rfam family "Archaeal small subunit ribosomal RNA", at positions 474 to 903 of the family's 1478-position model. The record is from RNAcentral.
AACCAGCUCUUCAAGUGGUCGGGAUAAUUAUUGGGCUUAAAGCGUCCGUAGCCGGUUUAGUAAGUUCCUGGUAAAAUCGGGUAGCUUAACUAUCUGUAUGCUAGGAAUACUGCUAUACUAGAGGGCGGGAGAGGUCUGAGGUACUACAGGGGUAGGGGUGAAAUCUUAUAAUCCUUGUAGGACCACCAGUGGCGAAGGCGUCAGACUGGAACGCGCCUGACGGUGAGGGACGAAAGCCAGGGGAGCGAACCGGAUUAGAUACCCGGGUAGUCCUGGCCGUAAACGAUGCAUACUAGGUGAUGGCACGGCCAUGAGCCGUGUCAGUGCCGUAGGGAACCGUUAAGUGUGCCGCCUGGGAAGUACGGUCGCAAGGCUAAAACUUAAAGGAAUUGGCGGGGGAGCACCACAAGGGGUGAAGCCUGCGGUUU